This 428-nucleotide RNase P RNA is filed under the name Alphaproteobacteria bacterium. RNAcentral describes it as "RNase P RNA component class A". It matches the Rfam family "Bacterial RNase P class A". From Rfam's summary of the family: Ribonuclease P (RNase P) is a ubiquitous endoribonuclease, found in archaea, bacteria and eukarya as well as chloroplasts and mitochondria. The record is from RNAcentral. Lineage: Bacteria; Pseudomonadati; Pseudomonadota; Alphaproteobacteria.
CCAGACGGCUGGACGGUCGCCCUCAACUUCGGUUGGGGGAGGAAAGUCCGGGCUCCAUGAAAAGACGGUGCCGGGUAACGCCCGGCGGGGGCGACCCCAGGGAAAGUGCCACAGAAAGCAAACCGCCCAUCUUCCAAGCCAGUCUUGAAAGAUGGGUAAGGGUGAAAGGGUGCGGUAAGAGCGCACCGCGCGGCUGGUAACAGUCGUGGCAAGGUAAACCCCACCGGGAGCAAAACCGAAUAGGGACGGCGUGUCGGCUACGGCUUAAGUUUCGGCUUCAGCUGUAAUACGACAGGCGAUUUUACGCUGCCGUCCGGGUAGGUUGCACGAGGCGUCCGGCAACGGACGUCCUAGAUGAAUGAUCGUCUAUCGCUGCUAAAUAUGGGCCGCGGCGUGGACAAAACCCGGCUUACAGGCCGUCUGGUGCC